GUGAGGAAUAUUGCACAAUGGGCGAAAGCCUGAUGCAGCAACGCCGCGUGAGUGAUGAAGGCCUUUGGGUCGUAAAACUCUGUCCUUGGGGAAGAAAAAAAUGACGGUACCCUUGGAGGAAGCCCCGGCUACCUACGUGCCAGCAGCCGCGGUAAUACGUAGGGGGCAAGCGUUAUCCGGAAUUAUUGGGCGUAAAGAGUGCGUAGGUGGUUUUGUAAGCGUAGGGUGAAAGGCAGUAGCUCAACUAUUGUUAGCCCUGAGAACUGUGAGACUUGAGUUCAGGAGAGGAAAGUGGAAUUCCUAGUGUAGCGGUGAAAUGCGUAGAUAUUAGGAGGAACACCAGUGGCGAAGGCGACUUUCUGGACUGUAACUGACACUGAGGCACGAAAGCGUGGGUAGCAAACAGGAUUAGAAACCCCAGUAGUCC
RNAcentral lists this ribosomal RNA (427 nucleotides) under uncultured bacterium. RNAcentral's name for it is "partial 16S ribosomal RNA". It matches the Rfam family "Bacterial small subunit ribosomal RNA", at positions 354 to 796 of the family's 1533-position model. The record is from RNAcentral.